AGGGCGCGCUCGAGCUAUGAAUCUCGGAAAUUACUCAAACCAUCAGCCUCUGCAAGAAGCAAAGUGGACGGCCGGGCGCGGUGGCUCACUCCUGGAAUCCCAGCACUUUGGGAGCCCGAGGUGGGCGGAUCACGAGGUCAGGAGAUCGAGACUGUUCUGGCUAAACCAGUGAAACCCCCUCUCUACUAAAAAAAUAACAAAAGCGAAGUGGAUCUCCCAUAAACGAGGUACUGCAGGAAGAAAGCAGAAAAUGAGACCCGAGUACACACAUGCACGCGGGCGCGCGCACACACACACCAGAAGAAAUGAACCAAGAGGAAAGGAAACAUUUUCAAAUAAGCAUUUGGAGAUGGGAAAAACACCUUGAAACAGAAAUUCAUAAAGUACAGAAUUUUU
This 396-nucleotide long non-coding RNA is filed under the name Homo sapiens (human). RNAcentral describes it as "HSALNT0398486". The record is from RNAcentral. Lineage: Eukaryota; Metazoa; Chordata; Mammalia; Primates; Hominidae.